RNAcentral lists this ribosomal RNA (385 nucleotides) under Cosmocampus banneri. Its description in RNAcentral is "partial 12S ribosomal RNA". It matches the Rfam family "Bacterial small subunit ribosomal RNA", at positions 794 to 1383 of the family's 1533-position model. Lineage: Eukaryota; Metazoa; Chordata; Actinopteri; Syngnathiformes; Syngnathidae. The record is from RNAcentral.
GCAUAGCCAUAAACAUUGAUAUUACCUACCCAAAUAUCCGCCAGGGGACUACGAGCACUAGCUUAAAACCCAAAGGACUUGGCGGUGCUUUAGACCCACCUAGAGGAGCCUGUUCUAGAACCGAUAAUCCCCGUUAAACCUCACCCUCUCUUGUUCCUCCCGCCUAUAUACCGCCGUCGUCAGCUUACCCUUUAAAGGCUCAAUAGUGAGCGAGACUGGUACAACCCCAAACGUCAGGUCGAGGUGUAGUAUAUGAGAGGGGAAGAAAUGGGCUACAUUCGUCUAAAGACGAACAACGAAUGAUUAGUUGAAAGUACAAAUCUGAAGGAGGAUUUAGUAGUAAGAUGAAAAUAGCGCGUCCAUCUGAACUUGGCACUGAAGCACG